UCAGACUCCAAGGAGAGGCCAACAGAUGAGGGAGCCAUUUUUCUGCAAUGGAAUUAAAUGGCCAAGUGGGUUUUUCCUUUGUUGCAAAUGGGGAAUGCUUUUCCUUUGACUCCACCAUCCAGUUCAGGACGCCUGAAUGUGUUUAACAUUUGCCAAAGGACUCACACUUGGAAGAAUGAAGACCUUUUAAAAAGAUCUGGAUUUUUCCUUAUGACUUGGAAUCCAUCUUUGUCUUGUAUAACUAGGUCAUAGCACACUAUUAAUGUCAGCAGUUAACAGUUUUGAAUUCAAAAAAACCUAAAGCACUAAACAGCCCUCAGCGAAGCCGCCUUUUUGCCAGCCCAACCCUGGAAAGUUUGCAGUCGUGGAAGGAGCAGAAAUACCACGAGUGUAACUUACAAAGAAGGUCUUGGCCGGAGACCGGAGCCAUGUCUGUGUUAUCCCCACUGUAGACAAUCCUUGCUUCCUCUGGACAUCUGGAGCAGGCCCAAUUUGACUGAGAGCCUUCCCCCACUAAGGUAGUUACAGAUCCAGCCCCACCAUCACCACCAGAGUUGAGUCCAAAUCCAACACUCUAGGCCGGGUAGUGCUGGGACUUUGCCAGCCUCCUGCUGAGAAGUGAAUUCUCCCCUUGGCAAACUGCAGCCAGCCAGCCUCCUGGGUCGAGAGCCAAGCCAAAAGAUGUCUGAGAGAAGAAACCUGGGGUCCUGCAAAGCCCUCCUCCUCCCCCCCCCCCCCCUUCAGCCAGCACUUAGGCCCUCCCUGAUUUAGCCCGUUACCUUGACAACCACUUGGGCCUGUCUCCCUCAUCACCACUGAAAACCUGAAGGUGGUUUUCCAGCUGCGGUACAUUUGCCCAAGUUGGGCACCCCUCCAGCUUCUAUUGGCUCGCCCUCUAUACAGCUGUACCCAAUAUAACAAACACAACCUUCCUGGCCCCUCAGCUGUAGUCUCGAAAUUGAUCUCACUGGUCCCGGGAACUCCGUCAAUACUGCCUCCUCUAGACUGAGCUCCUCACAGGCAGGAACAUGGUUGUUUCUCAAUAAACAAGUUGCAAAAAAA
Molecule: long non-coding RNA, 1062 nt
Filed under: Mus musculus (house mouse)
Lineage: Eukaryota; Metazoa; Chordata; Mammalia; Rodentia; Muridae
Description: expressed sequence AI480526
Source: RNAcentral